This 718-nucleotide long non-coding RNA is filed under the name Nicotiana benthamiana. RNAcentral describes it as "long non-coding RNA (NBEN_LNC036341)". Lineage: Eukaryota; Viridiplantae; Streptophyta; Magnoliopsida; Solanales; Solanaceae. The record is from RNAcentral.
GAGAUUCUCCUUCUUCUUUCUUUCAUCUUUGCCUUCUUGUUCAAAUCUUUACUGCAAUUCUUCUUUCUUGCUUUCGAUUUCUCUCUUUACUAUCUGCAAUGGCUUCCAAAACUUCAUCUCUUACUAUAUCUACUGCUUCUCUUCGUAGUGCUACUAUAUUUUAAGAUCUUCCUUCUACUAUAGCUUUGAUUAUAAAUAGAAGGAGGGGUGAAAGACUUCGUAGUCUAGGUUCCAUUGUAAGUAGAAAUACUUCCUCUUCUAAAGGAAGUUUUUAAAAAUCCCUCUGUUCUACUGGAGCUUUUGCUACUCUUAAAUCAUUCACAAAAUAAAGCAAAAGAUUCCAAUGAACCCUUGCCCAAACCUUUAGUUUCUGAAAUUGUACCCAAGAAUUUUCUUUUUCUUCUGAUUGCGCUAUGUGGAACAAAGAGGUAACCACAAAAGAAGAUCGUAACAAACAUGUUGACCUUUAUCCUUCUUUUAUCAAAUCUGGUCAUCUUCUCCUUGUUCGUAGAGAAUGCCAUAAAAAUCAAAAUUAACCAGUCAUACCUCAUAGUGAGGAUGUUUAGAUAACCAUCCAUCGUCAGGGUUAUUCGAUCGUCUACUCUUAACCUUUCACUCUCGGGUCCAAAAAAGUGAUAGAUCCAAUAAUCACCGGAUUCUAUCAAUAUUUCAAUGGACAAAUAGGUCUGAUAGUUUAGAGGGCAGUAACGUCUCUUCG